RNAcentral lists this ribosomal RNA (271 nucleotides) under uncultured bacterium. RNAcentral's name for it is "partial 16S ribosomal RNA". It matches the Rfam family "Bacterial small subunit ribosomal RNA", at positions 524 to 794 of the family's 1533-position model. The record is from RNAcentral.
GACGAAGGAUGCAAGCGUUAUCCGGAUUCAUUGGGUUUAAAGGGAGCGUAGGUGGUCUUAUAAGUCAGUGGUGAAAUCUUCGAGCUUAACUCGGAAAUUGCCAUUGAUACUGUAGGACUUGAGUACAGUUGCUGUGGGCGGAAUAUGACAUGUAGUGGUGAAAUACAUAGAGAUGUCAUAGAACACCGAUUGCGAAGGCAGCUCACAAAACUGUAACUGACACUGGGGCUCGAAAGUGCGGGGAUCAAACAGGAUUAGAUACCCUAGUAGU